RNAcentral lists this ribosomal RNA (497 nucleotides) under uncultured bacterium. Its description in RNAcentral is "partial 16S ribosomal RNA". It matches the Rfam family "Bacterial small subunit ribosomal RNA", at positions 28 to 507 of the family's 1533-position model. The record is from RNAcentral.
GAUGCACGCUGGCGGCGUGCCUAAUACAUGCAAGUCGAGCGAACAGAUAAGGAGCUUGCUCCUUUGACGUUAGCGGCGGACGGGUGAGUAACACGUGGGUAACCUACCUAUAAGACUGGAAUAACUCCGGGAAACCGGGGCUAAUGCCGGAUAACAUUUAGAACCGCAUGGUUCUAAAGUGAAAGAUGGUUUUGCUAUCACUUAUAGAUGGACCCGCGCCGUAUUAGCUAGUUGGUAAGGUAACGGCUUACCAAGGCAACGAUACGUAGCCGACCUGAGAGGGUGAUCGGCCACACUGGAACUGAGACACGGUCCAGACUCCUACGGGAGGCAGCAGUAGGGAAUCUUCCGCAAUGGGCGAAAGCCUGACGGAGCAACGCCGCGUGAGUGAUGAAGGUCUUCGGAUCGUAAAACUCUGUUAUUAGGGAAGAACAAAUGUGUAAGUAACUGUGCACGUCUUGACGGUACCUAAUCAGAAAGCCACGGCUAACUACGUG